UUAAAUUGAAGAGUUUGAUCAUGGCUCAGAUUGAACGCUGGCGGCAGGCCUAACACAUGCAAGUCGAGCGGCAGCGGGAAAGUAGCUUGCUACUUUU
This 97-nucleotide ribosomal RNA is filed under the name Aeromonas hydrophila. RNAcentral describes it as "partial 16S ribosomal RNA". It matches the Rfam family "Bacterial small subunit ribosomal RNA", at positions 1 to 90 of the family's 1533-position model. Lineage: Bacteria; Pseudomonadati; Pseudomonadota; Gammaproteobacteria; Aeromonadales; Aeromonadaceae. RNAcentral also lists the same sequence under 1 other name. The record is from RNAcentral.